This 916-nucleotide ribosomal RNA is filed under the name uncultured bacterium. RNAcentral describes it as "bacterial SSU rRNA". It matches the Rfam family "Bacterial small subunit ribosomal RNA", at positions 246 to 1155 of the family's 1533-position model. The record is from RNAcentral.
UUGUUGGUAAGGUAAAAGCUUACCAAGGCUUCGAUCAGUAGCUGGUCUGAGAGGACGACCAGCCACACUGGGACUGAGACACGGCCCAGACUCCUACGGGAGGCAGCAGUGGGGAAUUUUGGACAAUGGGGGCAACCCUGAUCCAGCCAUGCCGCGUGAGUGAAGAAGGCCUUCGGGUUGUAAAGCUCUUUCAGCCGGAACGAAACGGUUACGGAUAACACCCGUGACUACUGACGGUACCGGAAGAAGAAGCACCGGCUAACUACGUGCCAGCAGCCGCGGUAAUACGUAGGGUGCGAGCGUUAAUCGGAAUUACUGGGCGUAAAGCGUGCGCAGGUGGUUUUGUAAGUCAGAUGUGAAAGCCCCGGGCUCAACCUGGGAACUGCGUUUGAAACUACAAGACUAGAGUGUGGCAGAGGGGGGUGGAAUUCCGCGUGUAGCAGUGAAAUGCGUAGAGAUGUGGAGGAACACCGAUGGCGAAGGCAGCCCCCUGGGUCAACACUGACGCUCAGGCACGAAAGCAUGGGGAGCAAACAGGAUUAGAUACCCUGGUAGUCCAUGCCCUAAACGAUGUCAACUAGUUGUCGGGCCUUUACGGGCUUGGUAACGUAGCUAACGCGUGAAGUUGACCGCCUGGGGAGUGCGAUCGCAAGAUUAAAACUCAAAUGAAUUGACGGGGACCCGCACAAGCGGUGGAUUAUGUGGAUUAAUUCGAUGCAACGCGAAAAACCUUACCUACCCUUGACAUGUAUCGAAGCCCGCAGAAAAGCGGGGGUGCCCGAAAGGGAACGAUAACACAGGUGCUGCAUGGCUGUCGUCAGCUCGUGUCGUGAGAUGUUGGGUUAAGUCCCGCAACGAGCGCAACCCUUGUCAUUAAUUGCCAUCAUUUAGUUGGGCACUUUAAUGAGACUGCCGG